UUUCCAGACUCCUACGGGAGGCAGCAGUGGGGAAUAUUGCACAAUGGGGGAAACCCUGAUGCAGCGACGCCGCGUGAGUGAAGAAGUAAUUCGUUAUGUAAAGCUCUAUCAGCAGGGAAGAAAAUGACGGUACCUGAGUAAGAAGCCCCGGCUAACUACGUGCCAGCAGCCGCGGUAAUACGUAGGGGGCAAGCGUUAUCCGGAUUUACUGGGUGUAAAGGGAGCGUAGACGGCAGUGCAAGUCUGGAGUGAAAGGCGGGGGCUCAACCAUGGGACUGCUUUGGAAACUGUUAAGCUAGAGUGCUGGAGAGGUAAGCGGAAUUCCUAGUGUAGCGGUGAAAUGCGUAGAUAUUAGGAAGAACACCAGUGGCGAAGGCGGCUUACUGGACAGUAACUGACGUUGAGGCUCGAAAGCGUGGGGAGCAAACAGGAUUAGAUACCCUUGUAUCG
RNAcentral lists this ribosomal RNA (450 nucleotides) under uncultured bacterium. Its description in RNAcentral is "bacterial SSU rRNA". It matches the Rfam family "Bacterial small subunit ribosomal RNA", at positions 328 to 793 of the family's 1533-position model. The record is from RNAcentral.